This 253-nucleotide ribosomal RNA is filed under the name uncultured bacterium. Its description in RNAcentral is "partial 16S ribosomal RNA". It matches the Rfam family "Bacterial small subunit ribosomal RNA", at positions 524 to 776 of the family's 1533-position model. The record is from RNAcentral.
UACGGAGGGGGCUAGCGUUGCUCGGAAUUACUGGGCGUAAAGGGCGCGUAGGCGGACAGUUAAGUCAGAGGUGAAAGCCCAGGGCUCAACCUUGGAACUGCCUUUGAUACUGGCUGUCUUGAGUUCGGGAGAGGUGAGUGGAAUGCCGAGUGUAGAGGUGAAAUUCGUAGAUAUUCGGCGGAACACCAGUGGCGAAGGCGACUCACUGGCCCGAUACUGACGCUGAGGCGCGAAAGCGUGGGGAGCAAACAGG